UGGGGUGUAGCCAAGAGGUAAGGCAAGGGGUUUUGCCCCCCCCCUGACCCAUUGGUUCGAUUCCAACCAUCCCAG
RNAcentral lists this transfer RNA (75 nucleotides) under Caudoviricetes sp. RNAcentral's name for it is "tRNA-Gln". It matches the Rfam family "tRNA". Rfam says of the family: Transfer RNA (tRNA) molecules are approximately 80 nucleotides in length. Their secondary structure includes four short double-helical elements and three loops (D, anti-codon, and T loops). The record is from RNAcentral. Lineage: Duplodnaviria; Heunggongvirae; Uroviricota; Caudoviricetes.